GACGAACCGUGCGAACGUUGUUCGGAAUCACUGGGCUUAAAGGGCGCGUAGGCGGCUUAUCAAGUCAGGGGUGAAAUCUUUCGGCUUAACCGGAAAAGUGCCUUUGAUACUGAUAGGCUCGAGGGAGGUAGGGGUAUGUGGAACUUCCGGUGGAGCGGUGAAAUGCGUUGAUAUCGGAAGGAACGCCGGUGGCGAAAGCGACGUACUGGACCUCUUCUGACGCUGAGGCGCGAAAGCUAGGGGAGCAAACGGG
RNAcentral lists this ribosomal RNA (253 nucleotides) under uncultured bacterium. RNAcentral describes it as "partial 16S ribosomal RNA". It matches the Rfam family "Bacterial small subunit ribosomal RNA", at positions 524 to 776 of the family's 1533-position model. The record is from RNAcentral.